CCCCAAGCCAUGACCAUGAAGACGAAGCCGCUGCGGAACUGAUGGGCCCCCGACGGCUGGGUGGAAGCCUCUGGUCCAGAGGUGCUGGGCGGGGAUGGGACUCUCCUCCCAGGGGCGAAGCCUGAGAAACCGGAGCUGGUUGUGACACCUUUGGCUCCGGGGUAUUUGCUGGCCUUUGUCCUGCUGGCUGGCGUCUGGGGGCUGAGACUUGCAGUAAAUGAUGGCUCCGAAGCCGUGAUACAAGAGGCCAAAUGAGAGGAAAUAACUAGGAUCAACGAAAAUCCAUUUUGGAAGAGGCCAUUACAAUGGUUCGUUUGGGAAACCCUUGUGAAGCUGGCUUUCUCCAUCUUUUGUUCAACAAUCAAGAAACCCUUGGUGAAGAGUGAGGAGAAUGUUGCAAAACCCCCAACUGGAUCACGGGACUGGCCAACAGCUUUUAAAAAUCUAGUUUUGGGCUCUGCUCAGCUGCUCCAUGAGAGACUCAGAAGCCCCGUGGGAGGACGACCGGGCUCUUGGACUGGAACACAGGACCACGUCAGCCGCGAAGAGUGGCCUCCAUUUGAGCCCAGGCUGGAUUAACAGAAAUAUGAGGUCCAGAAUCCAGGCUACAGGAUCAGGGGUGCCGCCGCGAGAAGUUUGCGGAUGCUGCAGCCUAUUUAGGAGGGACGGUCCUAGGGCAGCUGGGGA
Herpailurus yagouaroundi (jaguarundi) is the source of this 687-nucleotide long non-coding RNA. RefSeq lists it as uncharacterized. The transcript is spliced from 3 exons. The record is from RefSeq and is a predicted model, not a curated record. NCBI's taxonomy places the organism in Eukaryota, Metazoa, Chordata, Mammalia, Carnivora, Felidae.